UACGUAGGGGGCAAGCGUUAUCCGGAAUUAUUGGGCGUAAAGCGUCCGUAGGUGGUUUAGUAAGUCUGCUGUUAAAGCGCGGGGCUUAACUCCGUAUCGGCAGUGGAAACUACUAGACUAGAGUGUGGUAGGGGUAGAGGGAAUUCCCAGUGUAGCGGUGAAAUGCGUAGAUAUUGGGAAGAACACCGGUGGCGAAGGCGCUCUACUGGGCCAUAACUGACACUGAUGGACGAAAGCUAGGGGAGCGAAAGGG
RNAcentral lists this ribosomal RNA (253 nucleotides) under uncultured bacterium. RNAcentral describes it as "partial 16S ribosomal RNA". It matches the Rfam family "Bacterial small subunit ribosomal RNA", at positions 524 to 776 of the family's 1533-position model. The record is from RNAcentral.